Molecule: ribosomal RNA, 460 nt
Filed under: uncultured bacterium
Lineage: Bacteria
Description: partial 16S ribosomal RNA
Rfam family: Bacterial small subunit ribosomal RNA
Source: RNAcentral
CCUACGGGAGGCAGCAGUGAGGAAUAUUGGUCAAUGGCCGUAAGGCUGAACCAGCCAAGUCGCGUGAAGGAAGAAGGAUCUAUGGUUUGUAAACUUCUUUUAUAGGGGAAUAAAGUUAUCCACGUGUGGAUAUUUGCAUGUACCCUAUGAAUAAGCAUCGGCUAACUCCGUGCCAGCAGCCGCGGUAAUACGGAGGAUGCGAGCGUUAUCCGGAUUUAUUGGGUUUAAAGGGUGCGUAGGUUGUUUUUUAAGUCAGCGGUGAAAGUUUGUGGCUCAACCAUAAAAUUGCCGUUGAAACUGGAAGACGUGAGUGUGUUUGAGGUAGGCGGAAUGCGUGGUGUAGCGGUGAAAUGCAUAGAUAUCACGCAGAACUCCGAUUGCGAAGGCAGCUUACUAAGCCAUAACUGACACUGAAGCACGAAAGCGUGGGGAUCAAACAGGAUUAGAUACCCCUGUAGUC